RNAcentral lists this ribosomal RNA (4839 nucleotides) under Triticum aestivum (bread wheat). RNAcentral describes it as "partial small subunit ribosomal RNA". The record is from RNAcentral. Lineage: Eukaryota; Viridiplantae; Streptophyta; Magnoliopsida; Poales; Poaceae.
AUGGGGCGAUCGAAGCCGGUCAUGGAAGAGUUGGAUCCGGCGGAAUUAAUCCAUCUCAAGGAGGAGGUGCUGGCAAAUCGUGAGGAGACCACGGGCUUGCGUGAGGAAGUGGAUCUGUUACGGAAAGAGGUUCAAUCCACCAACUCCAAACAGGAUUCGAUGUGCAAGGUAAUUACUGACGUCCAAACUGCAAUAUCAGCAUUAAGUGGUCAGUUAUCUGCAAUUACGGAUGUGCUCAAAUCUCUGAACACGAAUGGAGCUUCCACAUCUGCUAAUCAGCGUCCUCUUCCAAAUACCCAAGAGCAGCAACGGGAGAAAUCCCCUGAGGUUGAAAUUGCCAAGGAAUCUGCAGAGGAAAAUAGACCUUUUACAGAAGAAUUACGCAAGCGCUUUGCUCUUGAACAGGAGAAAACCCGGCAGUAUGCAGAGUUACUAAAUUCUGAUAUUCCUCCUAUUAACACUGGUCGUCGUCCAACUCCACCAGGAUUAACGACUGUUGGUAAUCAUGGGUUACAGUCAGGUCAGGUCUCUCCCGGCCAAGUGGCUCGAACUGCUCGAACUCCUGCUUUCACUCAGAUGCAGCAGCAAUCUAAUCGCCUCCAGUGGGAUGAUUACCCAAAAGCAUAUGAGAAAGAUAUGAGAGCUCAAUUUCUUAAAUCCAUGACCAAGGGACCAAAGAUGGAAUUCCCACGGUUUGAUGGUACAAAUCCUGGGGGUUGGAUUCGGCAAGCGGAGAAGUAUUUUCAAAUGGCUGGGGCACCAUCAGAAUACAAGGUUUCUUUGGCUCAGAUGUAUUUUGUGGGCAGGGCAGAUGUGUGGCUCAGAAGGGCAGGAAUUCUCAAGAAACAGUAUAAUUGGGCACAGUUCUGUGAAGAGAUUUUGCACAGAUUCUCUGCCUCCAGCACAUAUGAUUUAGUGGACAGAUUUAAUGCUUUCAAGCAAAAUAAUUUGUCCAUUGCCGAGUAUACUGACCAGUUUGAGGAAUUAAUGGCGGAAGUUCAAGAAGACAACCCAAAUCUGACUGAGAUGUGGUUUGUAAAGUGUUAUGUUAACGGGAUGAGGGCUACUAUUAAGUUCCAGCUCCGGCCACUUAGGCCACAAACACUGACAGAUGCUUAUUGGCUUGCAGUGGAUAUUGAGCAAGCAACCCCUGCAAGAAAGCCUUAUCCUGCUCUCACUGCAGACAAAAGCAAGUUCUCAUUUCAGAAUUACAAGUCUCCGGGCAUGACUGUCGACAAGAACACUGAUGGUAAGGGUCCUCCUGUGAAUCAGAGAGCAAGAGAACCAGGAAAGUGUUGGAGGUGUGGGGAUGUCUGGUUCCAUGGGCACAAGUGCAAACAAGCACCCGUUAUUAAUUUGCUUACGGGUGAGGAACCAACUGACUCUUCUACCGAACAAGAGGAAAUAACCGAAACUGAACAAGCAGAGCAGCAGCCUGUAGAUGAGAAUUGCAUGCACAUUUCUUUGCAAGCCAUGAGUACUAGUAGAGUAAGUACAUUAUCGGUGCUGGUGAACAUUGGGGGUAAGCAGGCAGUGGCUUUAGUGGAUUCAGGCAGUAAUUCCACUUUCAUGAACCUCAAGUUUGCUUUAACAACAAGCUGUUCUAUAGUCAGGGAUACGUCCAGAGCAGUAGCUGUUGCGGGUGGUGGUGUACUGUGGUCAGGGGCUUACAUUCCUGCAACCAAAUUUCAAAUGGGCAAGGAACAAUUUGAGCAUCCUUUUAGAGUGUUGAAUCUUCCUGGAUAUGAUAUAGUAAUUGGCUGUGAUCUUCUAGCUCAGCAUAGCCCAGUAUCUUUUGACUAUGAGAACAAGCAGGUCAUAUUGACAAAGGACAAGCUUCAGCAAGUCACUAUCCCAGCCUGCAAUUCAUUCGCUGCAGCAACUGAAAUUCCCAGUACAGAGUUAGCUUCUAUGUUGGGAGCUGGUACUAGUGGUUAUGCACUUUUUCUAAUCAGAGAUGUUUCAAUGAAAAAGCCUCCUCAGCAUGUAACACCUCCUGAAGUGGAGCAGGUUUUGCAGCAAUAUCUUGAAGUCUUUGCAGAACCACAGGGACUACCACCUGAAAGGAGUUGUGAUCAUAAAAUCCCACUGAAACCUGGGUCUGCCCCACCUAAUAUUAGGCAAUAUAGAAUUCCUCAUAAGCACAGGGAUGAAGUGGAAAAGCAAGUACAACAAUUGUUGAAAUCUAAGGUUAUUAGACCUAGUCAGAGUCCCUAUGCUUCUCCAGUGAUAGUAGUUCCUAAGAAAGAUGCCACAUGGAGGUUAUGCACUGAUUUCAGGGACUUAAAUUCUAUCACUGUCAAGGACAAGUUUCCUAUUCCUGUAAUUGAAGACCUGCUUGAUGAGCUGCAUGGAGCAAAGUUUUUCACUAAAUUUGAUUUGCGGUCAGGAUAUCAUCAGAUCAGGAUGAAUAAGGAGGAUAUACCAAAGACUGCAUUCAGAACUCAUUUUGGUCAUUUUGAAUAUCUAGUGAUGCCCUUUGGUCUCUCUAAUGCUCCCAGCACCUUUCAAGCUUUAAUGAAUGCAAUAUUUGGCAAGUACUUGAGAAAAUUCAUAUUGGUGUUCUUUGAUGAUAUAUUGAUCUUUAGUCAUACUCUGGAGGAACACUUGGAACAUUUGAAAGUGGUGCUUGAUCUUCUUAAAGAACAUCAAUUGAGAGUAAAUUUGUCCAAGUGCUUAUUUGCUGUUCAGCAAGUGGAUUAUCUGGGGCACAUCAUUAAUGAACAUGGGGUGUCUACAGAUCCGGAAAAAGUUAGUGCGGUUAAGGAUUGGCCCACUCCUACCACAGCAACUCAACUAAGAGGAUUUCUAGGUUUAUGCGGGUACUACAGAAGAUUUGUUCAACACUUUGGAUUAAUUGCAAGGCCUCUGCAUGAUAUGUUGAAGCAAGCUAAUUUCCAUUGGACUACAUCACAAGAUGUAGCUUUCCAACAAUUAAAGCAAGCCAUGACUUCGGCUCCUGUUCUGGCUUUGCCCAAUUUCAAUGCUCCUUUUGUGUUAGAAACAGAUGCUUCAGGGCAAGGGAUUGGAGCUGUGUUAAUGCAGCAGGGAAAACCUAUAGCUUAUUACAGCUCAGUGCUUUGUCCCAAGAAUUGCUUGUUAUCCACUUAUGAGAAGGAAGCAUUGGCUAUGAUUGAAGCUUUAAAAAAAUGGAGGCAUUAUUUAGUGGGGCAUCAGCUGAUCAUUAAAACUGAUCACCAAAGUCUGAAAUUCAUGACAGAUCAAAAAGUAACUGGGAAAAUACAACAGAAGCUGAUGUUAAAAUUAUUGGAGUUUGAUUUCCAAAUUCAGUAUAAAAAAGGGAAGGAGAAUGUGGCAGCAGAUGCAUUAUCUCGGAAAUGUCAGCUUAUGGCUAUAUCUCUUGUCACUCCUAAAUGGACAGAUGAUAUAGAACAUUCCUAUGAAAACGAUCCUGCUUGCAAGAAAAUAUUGGAAGAAUUGCUGGUUUUGCCCGGUCAUGAGCUUAAUAAUAAUUCUCUGCAAGGGGGCAUCAUCAGACACAAAGGCAGAAUUUAUGUGGGCAAUGAUAAGGCAUUAAAACAGAGAUUAUUAACUGCCUUGCACUCUUCUGCUUUAGGGGGUCACAGUGGAAUGAAAGCAACAUAUCAGAGGGUUAAAAACAUAUUUUAUUGGCCUGGAAUGAAAAAAGAAAUAGAAGAUUUCGUGGCAAUUUGCCCUGUGUGUCAGAAAAACAAAGGGGAACACUGUCACUACCCUGGGUUGUUGGAUCCCUUGCACAUACCUGACAUGGCAUGGACACAUUUGAGUAUGGAUUUUGUGGAGGGACUCCCUAAAUCCAAUGGCAAAGAAAUUAUUUUUGUCAUAGUUGAUAGGCUGACUAAAUUUGCUCAUUUCAUUGCCAUGUCUCACCCUUACACAGUCCAGUCGGUGGCUACUGCAUUUAUAGAUAAUGUGAUCAGAUUGCAUGGACCUCCUAUAGCCAUUGUGUCAGACAGAGAUAAAAUUUUUACAAGUCACUUGUGGAAGGAAAUCUUUGCUGCAAUGAAAAUAGAACUCAGAUACAGUUCUGCUUAUCAUCCUCAGUCUGAUGGACAGACAGAACGUGUAAAUCAAUGCAUUGAAAAUUAUUUAAGAUGCAUGGCAUCGGCAGAGCCAAAAAAGUGGGUAUAUCAUCUUCCAAUGGCUGAGUACUGGUACAAUACUUCCUUCCAUUCUUCUCUGCAGAAAACUCCUUUUCAAGCAUUAUAUGGGUAUGAUCCUCCCAAUAUCAGUGAGUUCUCUUUACCUGGAUCUCUAGAAGUUGGCCCUGCUGGCCCUACAGUGGAUAGGCAAGCUCUCAUGGGACAGCUCAGACAGAAUUUGCAAGCAGCUCAGGCUCGAAUGGUCAAGUUUGCAGAUAAGAAGAGAACUGAACGAGUACUAGCUCCUGGAGAUAUGGUUUAUCUGAAACUGCAACCCUACAGGCUCAAUGCUUUCGGUAUCCGACACCAUAUCAAGCUGCAAAGCAAGUAUUAUGGACCCUUUCGAGUGUUGAGCAAAGUUGGUAAUGUGGCUUAUAAGCUGUUCUUGCCAGCAGAUUCCCAAAUCCAUCCGGUAUUCCACAUUAGUCAACUUAAAAAGCAUAUUGGCCCAACAGCAGUUCCUUGCACGGAUCUACCCUUAAUUGGACCAAAUGGACAGAUAAGGACUGAACCAGUACUUGUCUUGGAAAUUCGUCAAAUACCACGGAACAAUGUUGCGGUGGUGCAGUGGCUCGUUCAGUGGGAGAACUUACCACCUGAAGAUGCUUCCUGGGAAGAUGCUGAUUUUAUCAAACACACAUUUCCGGGAUUCUUCAAGCAAACGGUGGAGAGCUGGCGGAAGCACGGCCCACCUUGA